AUUGAACGCUAGCGGGAUGCCUUACACAUGCAAGUCGAACGGAGUGUCGAACGGGUGAGUAAGGUAGCGGAACGUGCCCAUUAGCGGGGGAUAACUACGCGAAAGCGUAGCUAAUACCGCAUACUAUUGGAGCGGCCGCUAUCGGAUUAGCUAGUUGGUGGGGUAACGGCUCAACAGGGCGACGAGCCGUAGCUGGUUUGAGAGGACGACCAGCCACACGGGGACUGAGACACGGCCCAGACUCCGACGGGAGGCAGCAGUGGGGAAUUUUGGGCAAUGGGGGAAACCCUGAUCCAGCCAUGCCGCGUGAGCGAUGAAGGCCUUCGGGUUGUAAAGCACUGUUGGCAGGAAAGCGGUACCUGAAGAGUAAGCCCCGGCUAACUACGUGCCAGCAGCCGCGGUAAUAC
RNAcentral lists this ribosomal RNA (407 nucleotides) under uncultured bacterium. RNAcentral's name for it is "partial 16S ribosomal RNA". It matches the Rfam family "Bacterial small subunit ribosomal RNA", at positions 29 to 526 of the family's 1533-position model. The record is from RNAcentral.